RNAcentral lists this ribosomal RNA (253 nucleotides) under uncultured bacterium. Its description in RNAcentral is "partial 16S ribosomal RNA". It matches the Rfam family "Bacterial small subunit ribosomal RNA", at positions 524 to 776 of the family's 1533-position model. The record is from RNAcentral.
UACAGAGGUCUCAAGCGUUGUUCGGAUUCAUUGGGCGUAAAGGGUGCGUAGGUGGCGAUGCAAGUCUGGUGUGAAAUCUCGGGGCUCGACCCCGAAAUUGCACCGGAUACUGCGUUGCUCGAGGAUUGUAGAGGAGAGUGGAAUUCACGGUGUAGCAGUGAAAUGCGUAGAUAUCGUGAGGAAGACCAGUUGCGAAGGCGACUCUCUGGGCAAUUCCUGACACUGAGGCACGAAGGCCAGGGGAGCAAACGGG